Bacillus cereus ATCC 14579 is the source of this 140-nucleotide regulatory RNA element. It matches the Rfam family "FMN riboswitch aptamer (RFN element)". Rfam says of the family: The RFN element is a highly conserved domain that is found frequently in the 5'-untranslated regions of prokaryotic mRNAs that encode for flavin mononucleotide (FMN) biosynthesis and transport proteins. This element is a metabolite-dependent riboswitch that directly binds FMN in the absence of proteins. The record is from Rfam. Lineage: Bacteria; Bacillati; Bacillota; Bacilli; Caryophanales; Bacillaceae.
GUCUAUCUUCGGGGCAGGGUGAAAAUCCCGACCGGCGGUGAUGAACUAUUUAUGAUUUUGUUCUAAGCCCGCGAGCCGUUAAGGCAGGAUUUGGUGUGAUUCCAAAGCCGACAGUAUAGUCUGGAUGGGAGAAGAUGGAG